This 491-nucleotide ribosomal RNA is filed under the name uncultured bacterium. RNAcentral describes it as "partial 16S ribosomal RNA". It matches the Rfam family "Bacterial small subunit ribosomal RNA", at positions 29 to 506 of the family's 1533-position model. The record is from RNAcentral.
AGUGAACGCUGGCGGUAGGCCUAACACAUGCAAGUCGAACGGCAGCACAGUAAGAGCUUGCUCUUACGGGUGGCGAGUGGCGGACGGGUGAGGAAUACAUCGGAAUCUACUUUUUCGUGGGGGAUAACGUAGGGAAACUUACGCUAAUACCGCAUACGACCUACGGGUGAAAGCAGGGGAUCUUCGGACCUUUCGCGAUUGAAUGAGCCGAUGUCGGAUUAGCUAGUUGGCGGGGUAAAGGCCCACCAAGGCGACGAUCCGUAGCUGGUCUGAGAGGAUGAUCAGCCACACUGUAACGGAGACACGGUCCAGACCCCUACGGGAGGCAGCAGUGGGGAAUAUGGGACAAUGGGCGCAAGCCUGAUCCAGCCAUACCGCGUGGGUGAAGAAGGCCUUCGGGUUGUAAAGCCCUUUUGUUGGGAAAGAAAAGCAGCAGGUUAAUACCCCGCUGUUCUGACGGUACCCAAAGAAUAAGCACCGGCUAACUUCGU